Carcharodon carcharias (great white shark) is the source of this 2579-nucleotide RNA transcript. It is a transcript of the gene named zinc finger protein 821, with no coding region annotated. The transcript is spliced from 7 exons. NCBI's taxonomy places the organism in Eukaryota, Metazoa, Chordata, Chondrichthyes, Lamniformes, Lamnidae. The record is from RefSeq and is a predicted model, not a curated record.
UGGGAGGAUGGACCGGAGGGUGCGGGUGAUGUCGAGGCGGAAACAGGCUACUCCUUACCGAGUACAGUAUGCUAAAGGGACAUUAUCAGAUGACCAGAUAGAUAAGGAGUGAUAGAGGCCAAACUGGGAGAAGAAGAAAAUAGAGCAAAAAACAGAAGGUGCAAAGAAUCAGAAUGAAGGAAAUGAGAGUAAGUGGUGCAGCAUUCUUUAGGGAUGGAGGAAUGUGUGCACACAGAUAAAGCUGAAGUUGAUAUGACAGAGUCCAUUAGUGACCAUGGAAACCAAGAAGAGGACUUUGUUAACAUAAGUGAGAAUUGUGAUGGAUCAACACAAUAUUCAGAAGACAACAUACUCCUUAAAGAUUCUGAGGAUCAUCUUUUACCUACCAGUAGGUUGGUGACAGCCAUAAAUAAAGAUAAAACUGAAAAUAACAUGAAGGGACCAGAGAUGACCAAUUUUUCACAGUCUGUGGACAUUGAGCACCAUGCAGACAUUGGAGGUACCAAGGGGCUCAUUUGUAGCAUUUGUGGGAGUACAUUAAGCUGUAGAAGUUCACUGGAUAAGCACAUGUUGAUCCAUUCCAGCGAGAAACCAUAUCACUGUGCCGUGUGUGGGCAGUCACUCACAGCAAGGGACCACACGCAGAGCGUGACGUUGCCAGAUGGAAAAUCUGAUAUCAAUGAUAACACUGAGAGAACCUCCGUAUCUGAAGAAGCAGGACCGUUCUGGAAUACAGUGGUAGCUGCAGGGAUGCUGUUUGUCUGCGAAACAUGUAUAGCUUACAGAAAUCUUAUUGAGGCCCAAGAGACUUCAGUCCAUAAAUGGAUGGUCCGUAGACAGAAUGAGCCCCUUCAUGUUCGUUUGCAAAGACUAGAGCGUGAACGGACUGCAAAAAGACUUAAACGUGCCAAUGAAUCAGCUGAUGAAAGGGAGAUGCGGAGGCUGAGAGACCGUGAGGCCAAACGUCUUCAGAGAAUGCAGGAAUCGGAAGACCAGAGGGCACGAAGGUUACAACGUGACCGGGAAGCUAUGAGAUUGAAAAGGGCUAAUGAGACGCCAGAAAAACGACAGGCAAGACUCAUACGAGAGAGAGAAGCAAAACGGAUAAAAAGACGUUUACAAAAGUUAAACCCAAGUCUGUCGGUUCAUAUUUCGCAGAAAUCGACACCAGAGAUGAACUCAUUCCAGCUUCAUGUGGCUUGUCCCAAUCUGUAAAAUGAGCAUAUGGUUAUGAAAAAUUUGACUUUAUUUUUGCUCUGAAGUGAAAACAGUCCUUGAGUUCCAUCUAGAAUUCAUUCUUUUGGUUCAAGCUCCAGGAGACAACAAAAGCCAGAAAUAUCAUGAGAUAUGAUUCUAUGAUUUGCAUCGGAAAUAUGGUGACACGAAACUUGGAAGUCUUGCAAACAGUGAGGAAGAUAGUAAUAGACUUCAAGAGGACAUAGGCUGGUGGAAUGAGCAGACACAAGGCAGAUGCAAUUCAACGCAGAGACAUGCGAGGUGAUACAUUUUGGUGGGAAAAAUGAGACCUAGGAGCGUUCGUGCACAAAUCUUUGAAGGUGGCAGGACAGAUUAACAAAUAAUGAAACAUAUGGGACCUUGCACUUUAUUGAGACAUAGAGUACAAAAACCAGGAAGUUAAGCUAGCCUGAUAAACUAGUUCACCUUCAAUUCUGGGCACCACACUUUAGGAAGGACAUGAAGGCUUUGGGGAAGGUAAAGAAGAGAUUUACUAGGAUGGGUUUCAGGGAUGAAGGAUUUCAGUUACGUAGAUCAACUGGAGAAGCUGGCGUUCUCAGCCGAGAGAGUUGCUUAAAAUCAUCAAGGUUUAGACAAAGUAAAUAAAGAGAAAUUAUUUUCUCUAGCAGAAGAAUUGAGAACCAGAAGGCACAGAUUGAAGAUGAUUAACAAGAACCAGAGGCAACAUGAGAAAAACUUUUUUUGCGCAAUGAGUGGUUAAGAUUUGGAAUGCACUGCCUAGUAGGCUACAAUUGAAUCUGUAACCACUGUUCUUCAAAAAGGAAUCUGGUGUAUACUUGAAGGAGAUAGAAUUGUAGGGAUAUGGGGAAUGGAAUUAACUGGAUUGUUCUCGCACAGACUUGAUGGGCCAAAUGAUGGUCUCUUAUGCUGUACUAUUCUACGAUUUGUAUUUUAUGGCUGCCUAGACUAUAAUGUAAAGAACAAGAACUGAAUCGAGUUCAAAAAUAGCUUUCCUUUCUCUUGCACUGUCUAAUGCAAAUGUAAGAUAUGGUGCUAAAAUUAGUUAGAAAAACUUAAAUAUUUGAAAUGUUUUGCAUGCAGAGAAUUUCAUCUAUUGAUUCUAUAUCUUUGAAUACAUUAAUAUUUCAGAAUAAGAAACUCGAAUAACAAUGUUGAUCUAUUUAUGAUUGCUUAUUGACUAACCAGUUCUGAAUGCUUGAUUACUCAUCUCUUGCUGUACCACCUUUUCUUCUUACACCACUGAAAUGGUUUAACCUACACCGUUUAGUUGUUUGGUAGUACGGAACUUCGACUCUUGCUGAAAAGAAAGACAUAUCUAAACUUUUCGUCUUGCACUCAUCAGGACACUCAAGAAUACCAAU